GUGGAUUAGAUACCCUAGUAGUCCAUGCCGUAAACGUUGGGCGCUAGGUGUGGGACUCAUUCCACGAGUUCCGUGCCGCAGCUAACGCAUUAAGCGCCCCGCCUGGGGAGUACGGCCGCAAGGCUAAAACUCAAAGGAAUUGACGGGGGCCCGCACAAGCGGCGGAGCAUGCGGAUUAAUUCGAUGCAACGCGAAGAACCUUACCAAGGCUUGACAUAUACCGGAAACAUCCAGAGAUGGGUGCCCCUUUUUGGUCGGUAUACAGGUGGUGCACGGUCGUCGACAACU
This 288-nucleotide ribosomal RNA is filed under the name uncultured bacterium. Its description in RNAcentral is "partial 16S ribosomal RNA". It matches the Rfam family "Bacterial small subunit ribosomal RNA", at positions 773 to 1060 of the family's 1533-position model. The record is from RNAcentral.